Molecule: non-coding RNA, 123 nt
Organism: Cicer arietinum (chickpea)
Lineage: Eukaryota; Viridiplantae; Streptophyta; Magnoliopsida; Fabales; Fabaceae
Source: Rfam
AUCCCAGAUAAAGCUGUUUGUAUUUAUCUGAUUCAUGGGAGGCAAAAAGUGACAGGAAAUUUCGCUGAUAAGCACCCCUCUUAAUCUUCUAGGAGGUGUUUACUAGUUGCUUUCCACACAUAU